Molecule: ribosomal RNA, 424 nt
Filed under: uncultured bacterium
Lineage: Bacteria
Description: bacterial SSU rRNA
Rfam family: Bacterial small subunit ribosomal RNA
Source: RNAcentral
GUGGGGGAUAUUGCACAAUGGAGGAAACUCUGAUGCAGCGACGCCGCGUGAGGGAAGACGGUCUUCGGAUUGUAAACCUCUGUCUUAGGGGAAGAAAAUGACGGUACCCUAAGAGGAAGCUCCGGCUAACUACGUGCCAGCAGCCGCGGUAAUACGUAGGGAGCGAGCGUUGUCCGGAAUUACUGGGUGUAAAGGGAGCGUAGGCGGGAUGGCAAGUUGGAUGUUUAAACUAACGGCUCAACUGUUAGGUGCAUCCAAAACUGCUGUUCUUGAGUGAAGUAGAGGCAGGCGGAAUUCCUAGUGUAGCGGUGAAAUGCGUAGAUAUUAGGAGGAACACCAGUGGCGAAGGCGGCCUGCUGGGCUUUAACUGACGCUGAGGCUCGAAAGCGUGGGGAGCAAACAGGAUUAGAAACCCCGGUAGUCC